GACGAACGCUGGCGGCGUGCUUAACACAUGCAAGUCGAACGGUAAGGCCCUUCGGGGUACACGAGUGGCGAACGGGUGAGUAACACGUGGGUGAUCCGCCCUGCACUUCGGGAUAAGCCUGGGAAACUGGGUCUAAUACCGGAUAGGACCACUGCCUGCAUGGGUGGUGGUGGAAAGCUUUUGCGGUGUGGGAUGGGCCCGCGGCCUAUCAGCUUGUUGGUGGGGUGAUGGCCUACCAAGGCGACGACGGGUAGCCGGCCUGAGAGGGUGACCGGCCACACUGGGACUGAGAUACGGCCCAGACUCCUACGGGAGGCAGCAGUGGGGAAUAUUGCACAAUGGGCGCAAGCCUGAUGCAGCGACGCCGCGUGAGGGAUGACGGCCUUCGGGUUGUAAACCUCUUUCAGCACCGACGAAGCGCAAGUGACGGUAGGUGCAGAAGAAGGAUCGGCCAACUACGUGCCAGCAGCCGCAGUAA
Molecule: ribosomal RNA, 478 nt
Filed under: uncultured bacterium
Lineage: Bacteria
Description: partial 16S ribosomal RNA
Rfam family: Bacterial small subunit ribosomal RNA
Source: RNAcentral